UGGUGUAGAUCAGCUGAAAGCAGCAGGAUUUGCCCCUGCAGAGACGUGAGCGGCACUCAGGCGCACAGCCGCGGUAUGCGUGCACAUCCACAAGCGAGCAGCAUGAGCACCGUGCUCCUGAGGAAGAGAAACCUGUGUUUGGCUGUUGGUGCCUCUGGGAUGGAGGCUGGAGCCUGCCCUGAUGCAUCAAGGAAGAGUUCCCA
RNAcentral lists this long non-coding RNA (203 nucleotides) under Gallus gallus (chicken). The record is from RNAcentral. Lineage: Eukaryota; Metazoa; Chordata; Aves; Galliformes; Phasianidae.